Non-coding RNA from Xyrichtys novacula (pearly razorfish), 318 nucleotides. Lineage: Eukaryota; Metazoa; Chordata; Actinopteri; Labriformes; Labridae. The record is from the annotation of a GenBank genome assembly.
UUGGUGAAGUUCAGAGCUGUUGCUCCCCAGGUCAGAACCCUUCUCUGCUGUAGACUCGGAGCUUGGUUCUAAGAAGCCACAGUCACAAGAUCUGCAGGACUUUUCUAGUUCUUCAGCUCAUGUCGACUUCUGUGAUGUACAGAGAGGAGAGAAGGUUGUCACAUCAGAUGAACACAAAGAAAUAAUGUGACUGCUGAAGAAAAGUACAUACCCGUUAGAGGUCCAGCAUUGUGUGAGCAACAACUUGUCCAAUCCUGGAUCAGAAGUUCUCUCCGCUAAUCGGUCACACACGGAGAGGGUUUGGUUUCCUGUACAGCA